This 1174-nucleotide ribosomal RNA is filed under the name metagenome. RNAcentral describes it as "SSU rRNA". It matches the Rfam family "Eukaryotic small subunit ribosomal RNA", at positions 542 to 1774 of the family's 1831-position model. The record is from RNAcentral.
AAUCAAGUGGAGGACAAGUCUGGUGCCAGCACCCGCGGUAAUUCCAGCUCCACUAGCGUAUAUUAAAGUUGUUGCAGUUAAAAAGCUCGUAGUUGAACCUCUGUCUGGGGCUAGUUUUGGCUUUGGUCAGGCUAGUUCUAGGCAUCCGCCUACAAGACUUAGAGGGCAUUCAGUUGUUCACUAGGAGGAGUAGGCAUUUUACUUUGAAAAAAUUAGAGUGUUUAAGGCAGGCAAUCGCCCGCAUAUAUUAGCGUGGAAUAAUAGAAUAGGACACUUUUCCAUUUCGUUGGUUAUUGGAAUCGUGUAAUGAUUAAUAGGGACAGUUGUGGGCAUUUGUAUUUAAUUGUCAGAGGUGAAAUUCUUGGAUUUAUUAAAGACAAACUAACGCGAAAGCAUUUGCCAAGGAUGUUUUCAUUAAUCAAGAACGAAAGUUAGGGGAUCAAAGACGAUCAGAUACCGUCCUAGUCUUAACUAUAAACUAUUCCGUCUCAAUGUUUGACUGGCUUAUAUAACCAGUUGAGCGUUGUAUGAGAAAUCAAAGUCUUUAGGUUCUGGGGGGAGUAUGGUUGCAAAGCUGAAACUUAAAGGAAUUGACGGAAGAGCACAACCAGGAGUGGAUUCUGCGGCUUAAUUUGACUCAACACGGGGAAACUUACCAGGUUAAAACAAUAGUGGGAUUGACAGUUUGAGAGCGCUUUCUUGAUUGGUUGGGUGGUGGUGCAUGGCCGUUCUUAGUUGGUGGAGUGAUUUGUCUGCUUAAUUGCGUUAACGAACGAGACCUUAACCUGCUUACUAGACUGGCGAUCAUCAAUCGUUAGCUCUUCUUAGAGGGACUUCGGUUGUUUUAACUCCAAGGAAGUUUGAGGCAAUAACAGGUCUGUGAUGCCCUUAGAUAUCCUGGGCCGCACGCGUCAUACAAUGACUAGUUCAGAAAGUUUUCUCCUGACCCGAAAGGGGAUGGGUAAUCUUGAUAAUACUAGUCGUGUUAGGGAUCGAUCUUUGCAAUUAUAGAUCUUGAACGAGGAAUUCCUAGUAAGUGCGGUUCAUCAGACCGUACUGAUUACGUCCCUGCUCUUUGUACACACCGCCCGUCGCUUCUACCGAGUGGGUGGUCCGGUGAGAUAAUUGAACUUCGCAGGUAACUGAGAGGAAAGAUUAUCAAACCUAUCCACCU